UACGGAGGGUGCAAGCAUUAAUCGGAUUUAUUGGGCGUAAAGGGCGCGUAGGCGGGGAUGUUAGUCAGAUGUGAAAGCCCAGGGCUCAACCCUGGAACAGCAUUUGAAACUGCAUCUCUGGAGGGUAGGCGGAGAAACGGAAUUCCACGUGUAGCGGUGAAAUGCGUAGAUAUUGGGAGGAACAUCGGUGGCGAAGGCGGCUCUCUGGACCGGUUCUGACGCUGAGGU
RNAcentral lists this ribosomal RNA (228 nucleotides) under uncultured bacterium. RNAcentral's name for it is "partial 16S ribosomal RNA". It matches the Rfam family "Bacterial small subunit ribosomal RNA", at positions 524 to 752 of the family's 1533-position model. The record is from RNAcentral.